RNAcentral lists this ribosomal RNA (253 nucleotides) under uncultured bacterium. RNAcentral describes it as "partial 16S ribosomal RNA". It matches the Rfam family "Bacterial small subunit ribosomal RNA", at positions 524 to 776 of the family's 1533-position model. The record is from RNAcentral.
UACGGAGGGGGCAAGCGUUAUUCGGAAUUACUGGGCGUAAAGCGCGCGCAGGUGGCUUGGUAAGUGGCAGGUGAAAUCCCUCGGCUCAACCGAGGAACUGCCUGCCAAACUGCUGAGCUUGAGGCUGGGAGGGGAGAGCGGAAUUCCUGGUGUAGCGGUGAAAUGCGUAGAUACCAGGAGGAACACCGGUGGCGAAGGCGGCUCUCUGGACCAGUUCUGACACUCAUGCGCGAAAGCGUGGGUAGCAAACAGG